Molecule: ribosomal RNA, 468 nt
Filed under: uncultured bacterium
Lineage: Bacteria
Description: partial 16S ribosomal RNA
Rfam family: Bacterial small subunit ribosomal RNA
Source: RNAcentral
GACGAACGCUGGCGGCGUGCUUAACACAUGCAAGUCGAACGGAAAGGCCCUGCUUUUGUGGGGUGCUCGAGUGGCGAACGGGUGAGUAACACGUGAGUAACCUGCCCUUGACUUUGGGAUAACUUCAGGAAACUGGGGCUAAUACCGGAUAGGAGCUCCUGCUGCAUGGUGGUGGUUGGAAAGUUUCGGCGGUUGGGGAUGGACGCGCGGCUUAUCAGCUUGGUGGUGGGGUAGGGGCUUACGAAGGCUUUGACGGGUAGCCGGCCUGAGAGGGUGACCGGCCACAGUGGGACUGAGAGACGGCCCAGACUCCGACGGGCAGCAGCAGUGGGGAAUAUUGCACGAUGGGCGGAAGCCUGAUGCAGCAACGCCGCGUGCGUGAUGACGGCCUUCGGGUUGUAAACCGCUUUCGCCUGUGACGAAGCGUGAGUGACGGUAAUGGGUAAAGAAGCACCGGCUAACUACGUG